AAGCAACACUCUGUGGCAAAUGUUAAAGUCUUUUGCCCCAAUUUUCGCUUGCUAGAUAAAACAAGCUUAACCUAUUCCAGUAAUUUCUUUGUGAGAUAUACUGUUAUAUAAGCUUGAACAUG
Molecule: small nucleolar RNA, 122 nt
Organism: Xenopus tropicalis (tropical clawed frog)
Lineage: Eukaryota; Metazoa; Chordata; Amphibia; Anura; Pipidae
Product: small nucleolar RNA, H/ACA box 28
Source: Ensembl